CCGGGAUGGGCGCUGGGUGCCCGGCCGGCGCUGGCACGGACACGGCUCAAGGGCUGCCCGUGGCUCCCGGGCCAGGGGCUGCUCUGAGCAGGCUCCUGGAGACGCUUCAGCCUGGAUACAGGCCACUGACAGCCCAAAAGCAGCCCAAGGAGCAGCUGGCGUGUCCUGGUGAUGGUGGCACUGGCUGCGUGCAGAGGGGCUCAGACAGCAAUUCCUGGUUCCAGCCUCCCAGAGCUCCCAGGCAGCUGCCAGCUAUUAAAUGCCAACCGACAGCCUGCAGAGAUGCCUUCAAAUCAAAGGUUCAGGUGGGAUGAAGUUUUGUUUGGACGAAGGUGGGAGUUUCCAGGGAGCCAGCUGGAAGUGCAGAAGGGAUGGAAAGCUUUCCCAGGUGCUGGACUUGCCUCUGUGGAUGUGUGCUGAGCUCUCACUGCAGGGGACUGUGAGGCCUGACUGGCUGUGAGUUUGUGUUCUUCUCACAGGAGAAUCAGAAAUGAUCAUUAAUUAGACCACAGAAAUCUUUUCUGAAACCUUUCCCCUUUCCUGCCCUUUGCUGGUAAGUCUUUUCUUUCUGCCUUUAACUCUACAGCUGUUCCCUGAUGUCA
Oenanthe melanoleuca is the source of this 602-nucleotide long non-coding RNA. RefSeq lists it as uncharacterized. The transcript is spliced from 3 exons. The record is from RefSeq and is a predicted model, not a curated record. NCBI's taxonomy places the organism in Eukaryota, Metazoa, Chordata, Aves, Passeriformes, Muscicapidae.